Brassica napus (rape) is the source of this 2626-nucleotide long non-coding RNA. RefSeq lists it as uncharacterized. The transcript has 2 exons. NCBI's taxonomy places the organism in Eukaryota, Viridiplantae, Streptophyta, Magnoliopsida, Brassicales, Brassicaceae. The record is from RefSeq and is a predicted model, not a curated record.
AAUUGUUUUGUUGAUUUUUCUAAAUUUUGCCUUUGUUGAUUCUUAGGUUUGAGAGUUAAACUUUCAUAAAAUUUGUUUCAUUCAAGUUUUCCUAUGUUGUAAAACUAUUUAGGCAUCUCUAUUUUCACCCAUAAUUUACGUUAAAUUUAAGUUUGGAGUAAGAAAUGCUUUAAUCCCGUUCCAUUUUUUACUUCAUAAUAGAAUAAAUAUGUAUUUACUCCAUAAAUAGAAUAAUCAUUUUAUUUUUUGUUCGCUACUUUAUUUUUCACUUUAUUUUUUUGAAAUAUGGUUGUAGUAAAUUCAACUCUAUUAUUGAGUUAUUUUAUUUUUGAGUAAAAAAAAUUUUACAUUGGAAAUGCUUUAAUCUUAUCUUGUAAACAUUAAUUUAUUAGUAAAAAAAAUCAUUUGUAUUAAAAAUUAUAUAUUAAUUCGCUAAACGAAACUAUUUUGAGGCAACUAAUUGAAAUCUUCUUAUUAGUCUACUUGACUAAAAAUCAUGUUGUAUUAAAAUAUAUAUAUUUAAUUCACUAAACAAAACUACAUUGAGGAAAUUAAUUAAAAUCGUCCUACUAAGUCUACUUGACUAUAAAUGCAUUGCGUCAACCUUGACUCUUCCUACGAGGGACCUGAUUUUAAAUGGUUUCUUUAUCGUAUAGAAUGAGUGGUGUGUAAUGAUUUCUAUAUAGUGAAUUAUAUCUUCAAAAUACAUGGACAAGACUGAUGUGAUUGCGUGUUUAUUAUUUGCUUUAACUCUUUCGCCGUAACCAUAUUAUUCAAUCAAUUUGAAAAAUGUAACACUUAGGUUAUGAACGGCUACCGAAAGGCGGUGAGGUUUCAGAAUCUUUACGAAAAACGCUUUAUGUACACCAAUCACCUAUUUUAUACUUCUUCUGUAACAUUAAAUAAAACUAAUUCAACCAAUAAAAAAAAAAUAUAGUAUUUUAUAAUUGGUCAAAAAAUUUAAAUGACAUUAAAUUUUACCUAGAAUUGUGAGAGCAUCAUUUAUUUUGAAAUAAAAUCAAAAUUCUUAAACACCAGUUAAAAUGAUACGGAGGGAGUAUUCACUUUGCGAUUUUAAUCAAAAAAAAAAAAAACUGAAAUCUGUGCACAGAUUUCGAUAACUUACACAAAAAGCAUACAUAGUAGAAACCGCGAACGCAUGUAAAUAGGUGUGGUUUCGAUUUGUGUUUUUCUCACCGCAUGGUAUCAGGUUUAUGUCUCUCCAUGGAUGGGACUGUAGUCUCUGGGAAGAGGUGGUUCACAUAACACCAUCUUCGCCGGCUUUUGUCUCCGGGAAGAGGUGGUUCACAUAACACCAUCUUCGCCGGCUUUUGUCUCCGGGAAGAGGUGAUUCCUUUACACCGUCUUCGCCGGCUUAGCACCGCUUUUGUUUGCGGUUUGGUUGUUCUACGAUUUUCAAUGUCCUAUGAGUUACUGUCUCUUGUUGUGGCGUUUCCGGUUGAUUUUCCAUUCCUGUAUUUGGUCGCUGCAUCUUCAAGGAUACUAUUAUCAUUAAAGAUUCUUGCUCUUAUUUGUUGGAAGAUCGAAGCUCUGGAUUCAAGCCUUUUUCGGUAUGGUUUCGCUGAUGGUGAAGUUCCGUUGGAGGAAGCUCAUGUCUCCCGGUCGUGAUGAGUGUUCAAGCGGUGGUGUUGAGUCCUGUGUGGCUUUCAGGCCUGGUUAAAGCUUUUGUAAUUUCUGUUUUGGGUUUUGUUCAGCCUUGUUCGAUGUUUAUGUUAGGCCAAGUUCUUUUUGGAAUUAAGAUUUUUAAUAAAACAACAGAUGAAAAAAAAAAAAAAAAGUAACGUCCACUUAUAUAAUAACUUUUUCACAUAUAUAUUUUCAUUUUACCGAUGGGAGAAUUAGCUAACUACACCUAACUGAAGGCUUAAUUAGUGAUUUACUCUUGAAUGGACAUUAAUGAUCUAUCUUAUACACUUUAAGAUGCAAGUAAACGAAAAUGUCCUUACUUUAUGACAAAAGCAAUAGCUUAGUACACGGACACACCGCUGACACCGCAGAUUUGUAGAUGCAGGAUAGAGAUUGUAGGUUUGUUGCUAGAGCCUUCUCCUCCACAUGUUUUCUCUAUUUUUUAAAUCAACUUUAUGGUUUUCCUUCUCCGUUCUCUUCUCUUACGUUCAUCAAUCAAGCUUUUAGAAAAAAAGUAAAAUUCAAAACUUGAUUUAUCAUUGUCUUCUACUAAGAUUCAAAAAAAAAUGAUGAAUUUUUACUAAGAUUCUCACAAAGAUUCAAAAAAUUCGGUGAAGAUCCACAAAAGAUAAAGCAGAGAUCGAAGAUCCAUGGUAGUGAUUCUAUGAAGAAAAAAAAUAUGGUUACGGCGGUUUUAUCCCAUCCGAUGAACGUUGUUCUUACCCCUUUCUGUUUCAAAUCAUAAUCUGUUUUCAAUUUUCAAUCAUAUUAAUAGCGAUUAUGUGUUGUGGUCUUCUUCAACCAUAUUUCAUGAGAUGGUGUAUCAUAAGUUCAAAAAGAACCCGCUCUUGACAACAUAUGUGUUAGUUGGUAUCUUUUAGUUAAUUAGCAGAUACCAUAUUUUAUUAGCUGUUAAAAACUGGUUGCUAAGCAAACAUGUAUCAGAUAACACUUCAUUUAUCAUAUAACGAAUUAUUUA